RNAcentral lists this ribosomal RNA (417 nucleotides) under uncultured bacterium. Its description in RNAcentral is "bacterial SSU rRNA". It matches the Rfam family "Bacterial small subunit ribosomal RNA", at positions 957 to 1373 of the family's 1533-position model. The record is from RNAcentral.
GAACGCGAAGAACCUUACCAGGGCUUGACAUGCCGGUGGUACAGAGUGGAAACACGACGGACCCUUCGGGGAGCCGGCACAGGUGGUGCAUGGUUGUCGUCAGCUCGUGCCGUGAGGUGUUGGGUUAAGUCCCGCAACGAGCGCAACCCUUACCUCUAGUUGCCAGCGCAGAUGGUGGGCACUCUAGAGGGACUGCCGUCGACAAGGCGGAGGAAGGUGGGGAUGACGUCAAAUCAUCAUGCCCUUUAUGCCCUGGGCUACACACGUGCUACAAUGGCCGGUACAACGGGAGGCGAAGGGGCGACCUGGAGCAAAUCCCAAAAAACCGGUCUCAGUUCGGAUUGCAGGCUGCAACUCGCCUGCAUGAAGGCGGAAUCGCUAGUAAUCGCCGGUCAGCAUACGGCGGUGAAUGCGUUC